GAAUCUGAUCCUGGUUCAGGAUGAACGCUGGCGGCGUGGAUAAGGCAUGCAAGUCGAGCGGAACAAUUUGCGAUUACAUCAAGAAUUGUUUAGCGGCGAACGAGUUAGUAUUACCUUGGAAUCUACCUUGAAGACGGGAAUAAUCCGCCGAAAGGCGGACUAAUACCCGAUAGUCCCUGAGAGCAAUCGAAGGGUAAAGGGCGCAAGCCGCUUCAAGAGGAGCCUCGGUCCUAUCAGCUAGUUGGUGAGGUAAUGGCUCACCAAGGCGAUGACGGGUAGGGGGGGUGAGAGCCCGAUCCCCAACGACGAAACUGAGAUACGGUUCGUACACCUACGGGUGGCUGCAGUCGAGAAUAUUCGACAAUGGGCGAAAGCCUGAUCGAGCGACGCCGCGUGCAGGAAGAAGGCCCUCGGGUCGUAAACUGCUUUUACGGGGGAGGAACGCAAGUGACUGUACCCCGAGAAUAAGGCGCAGCAAACUUCGUGCCAGCAGCUGCGGUAAUACGAAGGCGCCAAGCGUUAUCCGGAUUUAUUGGGCGUAAAGGGUCUCCAGGCGGUUUUGUUAGUCCGAUGUUAAAUCCUUCUGCUCAACGGAAGGGAUGCAUCGGAAACGGCAAAACUUGAGACAGGGAGAGGUAAGCGGAACUCACGGUGUAGGGGUGAAAUCCGUUGAUAUCGUGGGGAACACCGAAGGCGAAGGCAGCUUACUGGUCCUGUUCUGACGCUCAUGGGACGAAAGCGUGGGGAGCGAAUAGGAUUAGAUACCCUAGUAGUCCACGCCCUAAACGAUGCAGACUCGCCAUGGGAAGUAUCGACCCUUUCCGUGGCUUAGCUUACGCGUUAAGUCUGCCGCCUGGGAAGUACGAGCGCAAGCUUAAAACUCAAAGGAAUAGACGGGAAUUCGCACAAGCGGUGGAGCAUGUGGUUCAAUUCGACGACAACCGAAGAACCUCACCAGGGUUAGACAUGCCGGAGAAAGCCGCGGGAAACCGCGGUGUACACAAGGAUGCCGGCACAGGUGAUGCACGGCCCUCGUCAGUUCGUGAUGUGAAUUGUUCCCUUCAGUGGGUUAACGAACGCAACCCCUAUCGUAUGUUACAAGUGUCAUGCGAAACUGCCUGCUUUUUGCGAGAGGAAGGCGGGGAUGACGCGAGGUCAGCGUGUCCCUCUGAUACCCUGGGCUACACACGUGCUACAAUGGAGUCGACAAUGCGUUGCGAAGCCGUAAGGCGGAGCCAAUCGCAUCAAACGACUCCCCAGUUCAGAUUGAGGUCUGCAACUCGACCUCAUGAAGUAGGAAUCGCUAGUAAUCGCGGGUCAGCUAUACCGCGGUGAAUACGUUCUCGAAUU
Molecule: ribosomal RNA, 1350 nt
Filed under: metagenome
Description: bacterial SSU rRNA
Rfam family: Bacterial small subunit ribosomal RNA
Source: RNAcentral